UACGGGGGGGGCAAGCGUUGUUCGGAAUUACUGGGCGUAAAGGGCUCGUAGGUGGCCAACUAAGUCAUGCGUGAAAUCCCUCGGCUUAACCGGGGAACUGCGUCUGAUACUGGAUGGCUUGAGUUUGGGAGAGGGAUGCGGAAUUCCAGGUGUAGCGGUGAAAUGCGUAGAUAUCUGGAGGAACACCGGUGGCGAAGGCGGCAUCCUGGACCAACACUGACACUGAGGAGCGAAAGCCAGGGGAGCAAACGGG
This 253-nucleotide ribosomal RNA is filed under the name uncultured bacterium. RNAcentral describes it as "partial 16S ribosomal RNA". It matches the Rfam family "Bacterial small subunit ribosomal RNA", at positions 524 to 776 of the family's 1533-position model. The record is from RNAcentral.